RNAcentral lists this small RNA (187 nucleotides) under Ligilactobacillus apodemi DSM 16634 = JCM 16172. Its description in RNAcentral is "Lactobacillus apodemi DSM 16634 = JCM 16172 Listeria sRNA rli28". It matches the Rfam family "Listeria sRNA rli28". Lineage: Bacteria; Bacillati; Bacillota; Bacilli; Lactobacillales; Lactobacillaceae. The record is from Rfam by way of RNAcentral.
AAUUACAUGUUAUAAUAACUAUUGGAAAAGUUGAGAUGGUGACUUCUGGACUGAAAGGUCGUGAUGCUUAUGGUGUAAAUACUAUAAACUCAGAUCCCACAGAAAGGAAGAAAAACGUGUCUAUUUCAGAUGCGUUACAACUAAUGCUAGCGUUUGGAACUUUUAUCCUUACGUUUAUUGGCUUAGU